This 499-nucleotide ribosomal RNA is filed under the name uncultured bacterium. RNAcentral's name for it is "partial 16S ribosomal RNA". It matches the Rfam family "Bacterial small subunit ribosomal RNA", at positions 28 to 507 of the family's 1533-position model. The record is from RNAcentral.
GACGAACGCUGGCGGCGUGCCUAAUACAUGCAAGUCGAGCGAAGUUUUUCUGGUGCUUGCACUAGAAAAACUUAGCGGCGAACGGGUGAGUAACACGUAAAGAACCUGCCUCAUAGACUGGGACAACUAUUGGAAACGAUAGCUAAUACCGGAUAACAGUAUUUCUCGCAUGAGAGAUAUUUAAAAGUUGGUUAUGCUAACACUAUGAGAUGGCUUUGCGGUGCAUUAGCUAGUUGGUGGGGUAAAGGCCCACCAAGGCGACGAUGCAUAGCCGACCUGAGAGGGUGAUCGGCCACACUGGGACUGAGACACGGCCCAGACUCCUACGGGAGGCAGCAGUAGGGAAUCUUCCGCAAUGGGCGAAAGCCUGACGGAGCAACGCCGCGUGAGUGAAGAAGGAUUUCGGUUCGUAAAGCUCUGUUGUUAGGGAAGAAUGGAUAUGUAGUAACUAUACAUGUAAGAGACGGUACCUAACCAGAAAGCCACGGCUAACUACAUG